AUGAGACUUUGGCUCCACCUAAUUUUCAUUGUAGCGGCUUUCGAAGGUGUCCGGUCCCAGGUGCAGCUGGUGGAGUCCGGAGGGGAUGUGAAAAAGCCCGGAGACUCUCUCCGCCUCUCCUGCAAAGCCUCCGGGUUCACCUUCAGCAGCUACAGCAUGAGCUGGGUCCGCCAGGCUCCCGGGAAGGGGCUGGAGUGGGUCUCGGUUAUCAGCAGCAGCGGGGGUACUAUCUACUACUCCGACGCAGUGAAGGGCCGAUUCACCAUCUCCAGGGACAACUCCAACAACCUGCUGUAUCUGCAAGUGACCGGCCUGAAGCCCGAGGACACCGCCCGCUAUUACUGUGCCCGGUCCCAGGUGCAGCUGGUGGAGUCCGGAGGGGAUGUGAAAAAGCCCGGAGACUCUCUCCGCCUCUCCUGCAAAGCCUCCGGGUUCACCUUCAGCAGCUACUACAUGAGCUGGAUCCGACAGGCUCCCGGGAAGGGGCUAGAAUGGGUCGCAUUUAUUUACAAUGAUGGGUCGGAUCCAAGCUACGCUGAUUCAGUCAAAGGCCGGUUCACCAUCUCCAGGGAUAAUCCCAAGAGUGAGCUGUAUCUGCAAAUGACCGGCCUGAAGCCCGAGGACACCGCCCGCUAUUACUGUGCGAGAGACACAGUGACACGAAACCGG
Non-coding RNA from Mauremys mutica (yellowpond turtle), 669 nucleotides. Lineage: Eukaryota; Metazoa; Chordata; Testudines; Geoemydidae. The record is from the annotation of a RefSeq genome assembly.